This 433-nucleotide ribosomal RNA is filed under the name uncultured bacterium. Its description in RNAcentral is "partial 16S ribosomal RNA". It matches the Rfam family "Bacterial small subunit ribosomal RNA", at positions 29 to 507 of the family's 1533-position model. The record is from RNAcentral.
AACGAACGCUGGCGGCAUGCCUAACACAUGCCAGUCGAACGAGACCUUCGGGUCUAGUGGCGCACGGGUGCGUAACGCGUGGGAACCUGCCCUUAGGUUCGGAAUAACUCCCCGAAAGGGGUGCUAAUACCGGAUAAUGUCUUCGGACCAAAGAUUUAUCGCCUUUGGAUGGGCCCGCGUUGGAUUAGCUAGUUGGUAGGGUAAAAGCCUACCAAGGCGACGAUCCAUAGCUGGUCUGAGAGGAUGAUCAGCCACACUGGGACUGAGACACGGCCCAGACUCCUACGGGAGGCAGCAGUGGGGAAUAUUGGAAAAGGGGCGAAAGCCUGAUCCAGCAAUGCCGCGUGAGUGAUGAAGGCCUUAGGGUUGUAAAGCUCUUUUACCCGGGAUGAUAAUGACAGUACCGGGAGAAUAAGCGCCGGCUAACUCCGUG